This 200-nucleotide ribosomal RNA is filed under the name uncultured eukaryote. RNAcentral's name for it is "partial 18S ribosomal RNA". It matches the Rfam family "Eukaryotic small subunit ribosomal RNA", at positions 588 to 804 of the family's 1831-position model. The record is from RNAcentral.
GCUCCAAUAGCGUAUAUUAAAGUUGUUGCAGUUAAAAAGCUCGUAGUUGAAUUUCUGGUGCGUUCUCUCUUGGCACCUGUCGAGAGAGAGCGUAUCAUCCGCCAGAGAACUAUAGUCGUCCUCAGUGGUCGAUAUAGGGAUCUGGCAAUUUACUUUGAAAAAAUUAGAGUGUUCAAGGCAGGCCAUUGCCAUGAAUACAC